RNAcentral lists this ribosomal RNA (221 nucleotides) under uncultured bacterium. Its description in RNAcentral is "partial 16S ribosomal RNA". It matches the Rfam family "Bacterial small subunit ribosomal RNA", at positions 111 to 334 of the family's 1533-position model. The record is from RNAcentral.
UAAUGUCUGGGAAACUGCCUGAUGGAGGGGAAGUAACUACUGGAAACGGUAGCUAAUACCGCAUAAUGUCGCAAGACCAAAGUGGGGGACCUUCGGGCCUCAUGCCAUCAGAUGUGCCCAGAUGGGAUUAGCUAGUAGGUGGGGUAACGGCUCACCUAGGCGACGAUCCCUAGCUGGUCUGAGAGGAUGACCAGCCACACUGGAACUGAGACACGGUCCAG